Molecule: unclassified non-coding RNA, 425 nt
Filed under: Bombus terrestris (buff-tailed bumblebee)
Lineage: Eukaryota; Metazoa; Arthropoda; Insecta; Hymenoptera; Apidae
Description: misc RNA ENSBTSG00005034433.1
Source: RNAcentral
GCGGCAUGUCCUGAUGACGGUCCUUCCAGACGGCCGACGACGACGGAGGGUUGGGAUUUGGGGGGCAGCAGUCGCCCCACCGGAGCGAGGUCUUCUGGGAGGGGCUAUUCCUUGUUCUAAACGCGAGGCCGCCCAUGGGCACUGAUGGCCAUCGAUUUUCACCCAACUCACCAAGCGUGCUGCUACUCUGCUGCUGCUUUUCCUUCCUUCUCGAAAUUUUGCUUCGCCUAUGGCACUGAUACCGAUCGUGUCGAUCAGUACAGUUCUUCACCUGAAAUACAUCGAGCUGGAUCCUCCUAGGUUAACAAAGAUGAAUGAAGUAGCCUUACCUCACAUGGAAAGUUCUCCCAAAGAGCUCUACGACUCUAUUACAGAGCAGAGUUUUUUUGGCGUGACAGAAAGAGACCACAGAAAUUCAUAGAACA